RNAcentral lists this ribosomal RNA (373 nucleotides) under uncultured bacterium. RNAcentral's name for it is "bacterial SSU rRNA". It matches the Rfam family "Bacterial small subunit ribosomal RNA", at positions 30 to 414 of the family's 1533-position model. The record is from RNAcentral.
AUUGAACGCUGGCGGCAGGCCUAACACAUGCAAGUCGAGCGGGGUUUUCGGACCUAGCGGCGGACGGGUGAGUAAUGCGUAGGAAGCUACCCGAUAGAGGGGGAUACCAGUUGGAAACGACUGUUAAUACCGCAUAAUGUCUACGGACCAAAGUGUGGGACCUUCGGGCCACAUGCUAUCGGAUGCGCCUACGUGGGAUUAGCUAGUUGGUGAGGUAAUGGCUCACCAAGGCGACGAUCUCUAGCUGGUUUGAGAGGAUGAUCAGCCACACUGGAACUGAGACACGGUCCAGACUCCUACGGGAGGCAGCAGUGGGGAAUAUUGGACAAUGGGCGGCAAGCCUGAUCCAGCCAUGCCGCGUGUGUGAAGAAGG